GACGAACGCUGGCGGCGUGCUUAACACAUGCAAGUCGAACGGUGACCCAGGGCUUGCCCUGGUGAUCAGUGGCGAACGGGUGAGUAACACGUGGGCAACCCUGCCCCUGACUUCGGGAUAACUCCUCGAAAGAGGAGCUAAUACCGGAUACGACCACUUCGGACAUCCGAUGGUGGUGGAAAGUUUUUCGGUCAGGGAUGGGCCCGCGGCCUAUCAGCUAGUUGGUGGGGUAAUGGCCUACCAAGGCGACGACGGGUAGCCGGCCUGAGAGGGCGACCGGCCACACUGGGACUGAGACACGGCCCAGACUCCUACGGGAGGCAGCAGUGGGGAAUAUUGCGCAAUGGGCGAAAGCCUGACGCAGCGACGCCGCGUGAGGGAUGAAGGCCUUCGGGUUGUAAACCUCUUUCAGCAGGGACGAAGCGAAAGUGACGGUACCUGCAGAAGAAGCACCGGCUAACUACGUGCCAGCAGCCGCGGUAAU
RNAcentral lists this ribosomal RNA (484 nucleotides) under uncultured bacterium. RNAcentral's name for it is "bacterial SSU rRNA". It matches the Rfam family "Bacterial small subunit ribosomal RNA", at positions 28 to 524 of the family's 1533-position model. The record is from RNAcentral.